UACGUAGGUGACCAGCGUUGUCCGGAUUUACUGGGCGUAAGGAGCGCGCAGGCGGUCGUUCAAGUCGAGUGUGAAAGCCCCCGGCUCAACUGGGGAGGGUCAUUCGAUACUGAUCGACUUGAAGGCAGGAGAGGGAAGCGGAAUUCCCGGUGUAGUGGUGAAAUGCGUAGAUAUCGGGAGGAACACCAGUGGCGAAGGCGGCUUCCUGGCCUGUUCUUGACGCUGAGGCGCGAAAGCUAGGGGAGCAAACGGG
RNAcentral lists this ribosomal RNA (253 nucleotides) under uncultured bacterium. RNAcentral describes it as "partial 16S ribosomal RNA". It matches the Rfam family "Bacterial small subunit ribosomal RNA", at positions 524 to 776 of the family's 1533-position model. The record is from RNAcentral.